AAAGAAGAGAAAAUGCAUCAAAGAGCAGCAGAGUCUACUGGAACAAUCACUUCUCUGUUGAAAUUUUACUCCAUCAUGAUUCUUCCAGCAUCAAGGUAAAGCAUCUCAAGCAUGAUAAAGAAACGAUGGAUGCUAAGAACAAUCUGACUUGUGAAGAACCAGAAGAGAUACCAUCGCCCAAGUUGAGUGAUUGGCUGAAGAGCUCAACAACUCCAUGGCGCUCUCCAAUCCGGCAUGGCUCUAUGAUGAUGAUGCCUUACACUCCUCUGGCUUGGCGGUUC
Molecule: long non-coding RNA, 281 nt
Organism: Brassica oleracea var. oleracea
Lineage: Eukaryota; Viridiplantae; Streptophyta; Magnoliopsida; Brassicales; Brassicaceae
Exons: 3
Source: RefSeq, a predicted model, not a curated record